UAGGGAAUCUUCGGCAAUGGACGAAAGUCUGACCGAGCAACGCCGCGUGAGUGAAGAAGGUUUUCGGAUCGUAAAACUCUGUUGUUAGAGAAGAACAAGGACGUUAGUAACUGAACGUCCCCUGACGGUAUCUAACCAGAAAGCCACGGCUAACUACGUGCCAGCAGCCGCGGUAAUACGUAGGUGGCAAGCGUUGUCCGGAUUUAUUGGGCGUAAAGCGAGCGCAGGCGGUUUCUUAAGUCUGAUGUGAAAGACCCCGGCUCAACCGGGGAGUGUCAUUGGAAACUGGGAGACUUGAGUGCAGAAGAGGAGAGUGGAAUUCCAUGUGUAGCGGUGAAAUGCGUAGAUAUAUGGAGGAACACCAGUGGCGAAGGCGGCUCUCUGGUCUGUAACUGACGCUGAGGCUCGAAAGCGUGGGGAGCAAACAGG
Molecule: ribosomal RNA, 429 nt
Filed under: Gemmatimonadota bacterium
Lineage: Bacteria; Pseudomonadati; Gemmatimonadota
Description: Gemmatimonadetes bacterium partial 16S ribosomal RNA
Rfam family: Bacterial small subunit ribosomal RNA
Source: RNAcentral